AUGCUCCCAAAGAAGCUAGCAGAAGUUGUAGAUGAAAGGCACUCUAGAUGUUCGCAACACACCAUGGAGUCUAGCACAAAGACCAAAGCAGAUAGAGAUGAUGUGGGUAAAGAGUGGGCUUUGUGGUUCGCUGAGGCAAAAAUACCAUUCAAUGUUGCAAGCUCAAGGCAGUUUGAGAUUGCAAUUGAGGAAUAUUGCCAAUAUGGGUUUGGCUAUAAGCCUCCUACCCCAAAUGAGUUGAGUGGGCCAUUGCUUGAUGCUCUUGUUGUAGACACACGUGCUUCGAGGAAGCAGCACGAGGAAGCUUGGAAGCAAUAUGGUUGCACACUCUUGUCAGAUGGAUGGACCGAUAGGAGAGGGCGUCACUUGAUAAACUUCCUUGUCAACAGCCCGGAAGGGACUUACUUCAUUGAAUCCUGCUACUUCUUGAGCAUGCGUUGGUUUUCCCUUGAAGAGGAAAGGGUGAUGCAGCAAAGUAGAGUAAGUAUUUCCCUCGGUUUGAGAAACCAAGGUAUCAAUCCAGUAGGAGACAGCGAACAAGUCACCGAAUACCUACACACACAAUCAACAACUUGCACCCAACGCGAAAAAGGGGUUGUCAAUCCCUUCACGGUUACUUGCAAAAGUGCGAUCUGA
This 636-nucleotide ribosomal RNA is filed under the name Triticum aestivum (bread wheat). RNAcentral's name for it is "partial small subunit ribosomal RNA". Lineage: Eukaryota; Viridiplantae; Streptophyta; Magnoliopsida; Poales; Poaceae. The record is from RNAcentral.